This 503-nucleotide ribosomal RNA is filed under the name uncultured Neisseria sp. Its description in RNAcentral is "bacterial SSU rRNA". It matches the Rfam family "Bacterial small subunit ribosomal RNA", at positions 15 to 507 of the family's 1533-position model. Lineage: Bacteria; Pseudomonadati; Pseudomonadota; Betaproteobacteria; Neisseriales; Neisseriaceae. The record is from RNAcentral.
UAUCCUGGCUCAGAUUGAACGCUGGCGGCAUGCUUUACACAUGCAAGUCGGACGGCAGCACAGAGAAGCUUGCUUCUUGGGUGGCGAGUGGCGAACGGGUGAGUAAUAUAUCGGAACGUACCGAGUAAUGGGGGAUAACUAAUCGAAAGAUUAGCUAAUACCGCAUAUUCUCUGAGGAGGAAAGCAGGGGACCUUCGGGCCUUGCGUUAUUCGAGCGGCCGAUAUCUGAUUAGCUAGUUGGUGGGGUAAAGGCCUACCAAGGCGACGAUCAGUAGCGGGUCUGAGAGGAUGAUCCGCCACACUGGGACUGAGACACGGCCCAGACUCCUACGGGAGGCAGCAGUGGGGAAUUUUGGACAAUGGGCGCAAGCCUGAUCCAGCCAUGCCGCGUGUCUGAAGAAGGCCUUCGGGUUGUAAAGGACUUUUGUCAGGGAAGAAAAGGAUAGGGUUAAUACCCCUGUCUGAUGACGGUACCUGAAGAAUAAGCACCGGCUAACUACGUG